CAGAGGAAGGAGCUCCUAAGGAUGGGGGCAGUGGUGAGGAAACAGGCCACUGAGACAGUGAUGGUGUUUGUAGGCAAAGAAGCUACUUGUAUUUGCCAACCACACCAGGAGGCCAGACUCGCCGCAGGGCACAGCACCCUCCAGAAAAACAGGUCACUGAAAAUAAUAUCAGGGGAGGAAGUCAAGAAGGCUGCUGUAUUCAUUCUGCUUUAAUGAGUAGAGCUCUCCUCUCUCUUUCUCUCGGCUCCCUUGCUUUGGAGGGAGCCAGCUACACAGAAAUUCAGGCAGUCUAUGAAGAGGCUCACCUUGUGCCAGUGACCACUUGAGUGAGCCAUCUUAGAAGUGGCUCUUCCAGCCCCAGACAAACUUUCAGAAACUAAAGCCCUGCUUCACAUCCUGACUAGAACCUUAUGAGAAACUCUGAGCCCAACCCACCCAGUUAAACCACUCCUGA
RNAcentral lists this long non-coding RNA (454 nucleotides) under Homo sapiens (human). Its description in RNAcentral is "non-protein coding lnc-JPH4-4:10". Lineage: Eukaryota; Metazoa; Chordata; Mammalia; Primates; Hominidae. The record is from RNAcentral.